RNAcentral lists this microRNA precursor (61 nucleotides) under Mustela putorius furo (domestic ferret). Its description in RNAcentral is "miRNA (ENSMPUG00000023193.1)". Lineage: Eukaryota; Metazoa; Chordata; Mammalia; Carnivora; Mustelidae. The record is from RNAcentral.
CACCGCGGGGGACUGGGCAGGGCUGGGCUGGACAGCGGCCAUGGCUCAUGGCUGUCCCGUC